AGCUUGGCCAGUAAUUCAGAUAUGGUGAAACAGAGCCAUAAACAUGAAUUUCUAAGUAAUAAUUAACAGUGAAUUGAACAAUUAUGGGUGUAAUAUACCAUUCAAGAUAGAUGUGCUUAUAAGGAGAUUUGUUUUGUAGUUGUUUUAUGAGUCACUCAUAGAAGCUUUGUAUUUUCAAAGCAACUUAAAUAAAGAAAAGUCAGCUUUACUACAGACGAAGAAUCAAAUGGCAUUAGAUUUAGAACAACUUCUAAAUCAUCGUGAGGAAUUGGCAGCAAUGAAACAGAUUCUCGUUAAGAUGCAUAGUAAACAUUCUGAGAACAGCUUACUUCUCACUAAAACAGAACCAAAAAAUGUGACAGAAAAUCAGAAAUCAAAGACUUUGAAUGUGCCUAAAGAACAUGAAGACAAUAUACUUACACCUAAACCAACACUCUUUACUAAAAAAGAAGCACCUGAGUGGUCUAAGAAACAAAAGAUGAAGACCUAGUGUUUUGGAUGGGAAGCACCUGUAGACCAUUAUGUACUCCUAAAGUUCUUUUUCUGAUGGAAAACAAUUCAUCUUAAUCAUGUACUCAGUAUUUUUUAAAUAACAAUGUUUAUUUGAACUAAUACUAAAUUAACAAAUUC
Molecule: small RNA, 630 nt
Filed under: Pongo abelii (Sumatran orangutan)
Lineage: Eukaryota; Metazoa; Chordata; Mammalia; Primates; Hominidae
Description: processed transcript
Source: RNAcentral